UCGUCAUGUCAUUCAGUCUCAUGAUACCAAAAUCUUUUUUGCUCUUUUACAGGGAUUUCCAGACAACCCUACAAGUAGAAAGUGCUGGCGUUCAGUCUGGAUAUUCAAAAUUCCAUGAUAUAGCAUGUCAGAAAGUAAACAUAGUAGACAUUAUAUGCGUGGCCGUCGCUUUCACUGUGAUGGUGAUGCUCGUAGCUCAGAUUUGCAAAAUGGUGACUGGAGGAGGGGCGACAAACGGUCGGCCCGAGGCGCGCCCCGGCAGAGGCGCGGAACGACGCUCUGGAGCCCGGCCCGAGAGGCGCCCGCGACGCGCGUCCCGCUGAACCCUACCCAGUUGAGGCAGAAAUACCUUUCUGCUGCCGACUUAUCUCGCGCAUCAUUGACAGGCAUGCCCUGUUCGGAAGAAUGUUUUACAGAAGAUUUAGAACGCCUUGAUUCCUCUUUGAGCUUUCAGUCUGGAUUUUCAAAAUUCACUGAUAUUGGAUGUGAGGAAGUAGACAUAUUGGACAUAUUCUGUGUAGCCAUUGCUUUUACCGUAGUGCUGGUGGUCCUAGCUCGUCUUUGUAAGAUAGUGACUGGAAGAGGGGCGUCGAGCGCAAGCAGCCGCCCGGAGAGACGUGACUCGAGGCGAACUACAUAUUAGGUUUUGAAAGAUGAGUGCGAAACUUCAAACUGGCAUGUCAAGAAUCUCUGGCAUUGCAUGCCAGGACGUGAACAUCGUGGAUAUAUUAUGUAUCGCCAUGGCUUUCACCGUGCUGGUGAUGCUGGUGGCUCAGCUCGGCAGGAUGCUGACAUCGUGCUGGGAGCAGGAGGUCGAGGCGCUGCCCGAGAGCCAACCCGAGAGGAGCGUCGUGAGACGUCCAGAGAGGCGCCCCGAGCGGCGUCCCAGAUGCCCUUCAAGAUGUCCCAAAUCUUAAAUGUUUAUUACUGAAAUGGCAUUUCUCGAGAGACAUAUUAUUUAAACACGAGUGCAAGCGUCAAAUACGAAUAAAGGAUGACGGGCCGGAGGCGAAUAUGGAACAUACAGCCACUAGAAGACACGCGAGCACUAUCGCAGAAGCACUACCUAAUCGUUUUGAUUGGACUCGCAAUCAUAUUUAUGUUUCAGCAAGACGAUUGCAUCGAAUUUUAUAAAAAAUAACUUAUUUUCAUGUACAAUAUCAAUGUUAUUAAUUUAUA
Molecule: long non-coding RNA, 1179 nt
Organism: Trichoplusia ni (cabbage looper)
Lineage: Eukaryota; Metazoa; Arthropoda; Insecta; Lepidoptera; Noctuidae
Exons: 7
Source: RefSeq, a predicted model, not a curated record